GGGGGAUUAGCUCAGUUGGCUAGAGCGCUUGAUUUGCAUUCAAGAGGUCAUCGGUUCGACUCCGAUAUUCUCCAC
Molecule: transfer RNA, 75 nt
Filed under: Prolixibacter bellariivorans
Lineage: Bacteria; Pseudomonadati; Bacteroidota; Bacteroidia; Marinilabiliales; Prolixibacteraceae
Also listed under: 3 other names
Description: tRNA-Ala
Rfam family: tRNA
About the family: Transfer RNA (tRNA) molecules are approximately 80 nucleotides in length. Their secondary structure includes four short double-helical elements and three loops (D, anti-codon, and T loops).
Source: RNAcentral